GCUAUACUGCAAGUCGAGCGGACAGAUGGGAGCUUGCUCCCUGAUGUUAGCGGCGGACGGGUGAGUAACACGUGGGUAACCUGCCUGUAAGACUGGGAUAACUCCGGGAAACCGGGGCUAAUACCGGAUGGUUGUUUGAACCGCAUGGUUCAGACAUAAAAGGUGGCUUCGGCUACCACUUACAGAUGGACCCGCGGCGCAUUAGCUAGUUGGUGAGGUAACGGCUCACCAAGGCAACGAUGCGUAGCCGACCUGAGAGGGUGAUCGGCCACACUGGGACUGAGACACGGCCCAGACUCCUACGGGAGGCAGCAGUAGGGAAUCUUCCGCAAUGGACGAAAGUCUGACGGAGCAACGCCGCGUGAGUGAUGAAGGUUUUCGGAUCGUAAAGCUCUGUUGUUAGGGAAGAACAAGUGCCGUUCAAAUAGGGCGGCACCUUGACGGUACCUAACCAGAAAGCCACGGCUAACUACGUGCCAGCAGCCGCGGUAAUACGUAGGUGGCAAGCGUUGUCCGGAAUUAUUGGGCGUAAAGGGCUCGCAGGCGGUUUCUUAAGUCUGAUGUGAAAGCCCCCGGCUCAACCGGGGAGGGUCAUUGGAAACUGGGGAACUUGAGUGCAGAAGAGGAGAGUGGAAUUCCACGUGUAGCGGUGAAAUGCGUAGAGAUGUGGAGGAACACCAGUGGCGAAGGCGACUCUCUGGUCUGUAACUGACGCUGAGGAGCGAAAGCGUGGGGAGCGAACAGGAUUAGAUACCCUGGUAGUCCACGCCGUAAACGAUGAGUGCUAAGUGUUAGGGGGUUUCCGCCCCUUAGUGCUGCAGCUAACGCAUUAAGCACUCCGCCUGGGGAGUACGGUCGCAAGACUGAAACUCAAAGGAAUUGACGNGGGCCCGCACAAGCGGUGGAUCAUGUGGCUUUAUUUCGAAGCUAUGCAUAGAACCUUACCAGGUCUUGACCUCUUCUGAACAUC
This 970-nucleotide ribosomal RNA is filed under the name Bacillus velezensis. RNAcentral's name for it is "bacterial SSU rRNA". It matches the Rfam family "Bacterial small subunit ribosomal RNA", at positions 48 to 999 of the family's 1533-position model. The record is from RNAcentral. Lineage: Bacteria; Bacillati; Bacillota; Bacilli; Caryophanales; Bacillaceae.